UGGGGAAUAUUGGACAAUGGGCGCAAGCCUGAUCCAGCCAUGCCGCGUGAGUGAAGAAGGCCUUAGGGUUGUAAAGCUCUUUCAGUCGUGACGAUGAUGACGGUAGCGACAGAAGAAGCCCCGGCUAACUCCGUGCCAGCAGCCGCGGUAAUACGGAGGGGGCAAGCGUUGUUCGGAUUUACUGGGCGUAAAGGGCGCGUAGGCGGGGUAUCCAGUUAGGGGUGAAAGCCCGGGGCUCAACCUCGGAACUGCCUUUAAAACUGAUACUCUAGAGUCCGGAAGAGGGUCGCGGAAUUCCCAGUGUAGAGGUGAAAUUCGUAGAUAUUGGGAGGAAUACCGGUGGCGAAGGCGACCGCCUGGACGGGUACUGACACUGAGGCGCGAAAGCGUGGGGAGCAAACAGGAUUAGAUACCCGCGUAGUCC
This 424-nucleotide ribosomal RNA is filed under the name uncultured prokaryote. RNAcentral's name for it is "bacterial SSU rRNA". It matches the Rfam family "Bacterial small subunit ribosomal RNA", at positions 355 to 796 of the family's 1533-position model. The record is from RNAcentral.